ACGAACGCUGGCGGCGUGCUUAACACAUGCAAGUCGAACGGUGAAGCAGGAGCUUGCUCUUGUGGAUCAGUGGCGAACGGGUGAGUAACACGUGAGUAACCUGCCCUUGACUCUGGGAUAAGCGUUGGAAACGACGUCUAAUACCGGAUACGACCUCCAACCGCAUGGUUAGGGGGUGGAAAGAUUUUUUGGUCAAGGAUGGACUCGCGGCCUAUCAGCUUGUUGGUGAGGUAAUGGCUCACCAAGGCGACGACGGGUAGCCGGCCUGAGAGGGUGACCGGCCACACUGGGACUGAGACACGGCCCAGACUCCUACGGGAGGCAGCAGUGGGGAAUAUUGCACAAUGGGCGCAAGCCUGAUGCAGCAACGCCGCGUGAGGGAUGACGGCCUUCGGGUUGUAAACCUCUUUCAGCAGGGACGAAGCGUGAGUGACGGUACCUGCAGAAGAAGCACCGGCUAACUACGU
RNAcentral lists this ribosomal RNA (467 nucleotides) under uncultured bacterium. RNAcentral describes it as "bacterial SSU rRNA". It matches the Rfam family "Bacterial small subunit ribosomal RNA", at positions 29 to 506 of the family's 1533-position model. The record is from RNAcentral.